CGGAUUGCAGGCUGCAACUCGCCUGCAUGAAGUCGGAAUUGCUAGUAAUCGCGAAUCAGCAUGUCGCGGUGAAUACGUUCCCGGGUCUUGUACACACCGCCCGUCACACCAUGGGAGUUGGCAACGCCCGAAGCCAGUGACCCAACCGAGAGGAGGGAGCUGUCGAAGGCGGGGCCGGUAACUGGGGUGAAGUCGUAACAAGGUACC
Molecule: ribosomal RNA, 207 nt
Filed under: uncultured bacterium
Lineage: Bacteria
Description: partial 16S ribosomal RNA
Rfam family: Bacterial small subunit ribosomal RNA
Source: RNAcentral